This 279-nucleotide ribosomal RNA is filed under the name uncultured bacterium. RNAcentral's name for it is "partial 16S ribosomal RNA". It matches the Rfam family "Bacterial small subunit ribosomal RNA", at positions 506 to 784 of the family's 1533-position model. The record is from RNAcentral.
UGCCAGCCGCCGCGGUAAUACGGAGGGGGUUAGCGUUGUUCGGAAUUACUGGGCGUAAAGCGCACGUAGGCGGAUCAGAAAGUUAGGGGUGAAAUCCCGGGGCUCAACCCCGGAGCUGCAUUUGAAACUGCCUGGCUAGAGUAUAGUUAGGGAAAACGGAAUUCCACGUGUAGCGGUGAAAUGCGUAGAUAUGUGGAAGAACACCGGUGGUGAAGACGGUUUUCUGGGCUAAAACUGACGCUGAGGCGCGAAAGCUAGGGGAGCAAACAGGAUUAGAUA